GACGGAGGGUGCAAGCGUUGUUCGGAAUUACUGGGCGUAAAGCGUACGUAGGUGGCGGGUUAAGUCGAAUGUUAAAGCCUGGAGCUCAACUCCAGAGAUGCAUUCGAUACUGGCCUGCUAGAGGGUGAUAGAGGAAAGCGGAAUUCCGAGUGUAGCGGUGAAAUGCGUAGAUAUUCGGAGGAACACCAGUAGCGAAGGCGGCUUUCUGGGUCACACCUGACACUGAGGUACGAAAGCGUGGGGAGCAAAC
Molecule: ribosomal RNA, 250 nt
Filed under: uncultured bacterium
Lineage: Bacteria
Description: partial 16S ribosomal RNA
Rfam family: Bacterial small subunit ribosomal RNA
Source: RNAcentral